This 76-nucleotide transfer RNA is filed under the name Psammoneis japonica. Its description in RNAcentral is "tRNA-Asp". It matches the Rfam family "tRNA". Rfam says of the family: Transfer RNA (tRNA) molecules are approximately 80 nucleotides in length. Their secondary structure includes four short double-helical elements and three loops (D, anti-codon, and T loops). Further hydrogen bonds mediate the characteristic L-shaped molecular structure. tRNAs have two regions of fundamental functional importance: the anti-codon, which is responsible for specific mRNA codon recognition, and the 3' end, to which the tRNAs corresponding amino acid is attached (by aminoacyl-tRNA synthetases). tRNAs cope with the degeneracy of the genetic code in two manners: having more than one tRNA (with a specific anti-codon) for a particular amino acid; and 'wobble' base-pairing, i.e. permitting non-standard base-pairing at the 3rd anti-codon position. The record is from RNAcentral. Lineage: Eukaryota; Bacillariophyta; Plagiogrammaphyceae; Plagiogrammales; Plagiogrammaceae.
GAAAAUGUAGCUUAAUUUGGGUUAAAGCGUCGACCUGUCACGUCGAAGACUGCGGGUUCAAGUCCCGUCUUUUUCG